RNAcentral lists this long non-coding RNA (949 nucleotides) under Rhinopithecus bieti (black snub-nosed monkey). RNAcentral's name for it is "lncRNA (ENSRBIG00000046054.1)". Lineage: Eukaryota; Metazoa; Chordata; Mammalia; Primates; Cercopithecidae. The record is from RNAcentral.
CUAAUAUCAUCACAGGAGUUUUCAUUUUCUUCUUUGCAAUUGUAGAGUUACUUCGCGGAAGACUCAUCAUCUUCAGUUGAAAUACUGUACUCGAAGAAGACUUCCCACAAGAUCAUGAACAAACAUCGAAAAAAGAAUGGCAGCACUCAGACCGUGCGUUUCAAGGUCCUCGCCAGCACAGGGGCACAGUAGGAAGAGGCAGGAUCCAGUGACUAUUUCAACAUCUCUGAGGCAGUGAAUCGAAUUACAUUUGUUGAUGAAGACAUAAACGGAUAAGACCCUCUCCCUGUCCCCAAAAUGAACAGUGCACCCAAGGCAAGAUUGAAGCCGGGUUCCAGAUGCACUUCUGCCAUUCAUUGGAUGUACAAACUUCUGCAAAAUACUGAUUUUAUUCUUUGUCUGCAAAAGGCACGAAGUGGAGUCUACUCCAGAGAUGGAUCACUCAAGAUCACAAUGCCAUAUUUCUUCUCCUUGGAGAGGCCUAUUUAGUGAAAAGGAUCAGGCAUUUUGAGGAAGAAAUUCUAAAACAAAUCAAGAAGAACUUGCCAGGUCCAGUUGGAAAGUCAAGUGGUACUGUUAACUAACUGCUUUGUGAGUCAGUACCCUGGUGAGUCCUGCAGUAUGUCUAGUGCCAGGUCUACCUGUUUCCAGCUUUCUCUUCUGCAUCACUGUUCCUUAUUAUUUGUGAUUCAGCACACUAGAGGCAUGCUGGAAGCCCUUUGAGAUAGGCAGGGCAGAUAAUAUUAAUUAUUUAAAGAAAAGUCAUACUCAGACAGGUUAAGGGACUAUACAGAUGGGAGAUACUGACUUGAAACCAGUUCUGCUUUCAUACCAUUCAUUGCAUUAUGUAGAGGAUAGGACUGAAGAUCAAAAAUAUGCAGCAGUCCUCCAUCCCCUUAUCUACAGUUUUGUUUUGCAGUUUCAGUUACCCAUACUUAACCAUGGCCCA